GCUCCUGUAACUUAGUGGUUAAAGCGUCCGCCUCGGAUGCGGGAGGUCGUGGGUUCAAACCCCGGCCGAGUCA
Potamilus streckersoni is the source of this 73-nucleotide non-coding RNA. The record is from the annotation of a GenBank genome assembly. NCBI's taxonomy places the organism in Eukaryota, Metazoa, Mollusca, Bivalvia, Unionida, Unionidae.